GAUGAGGCACAAAAGCAUCCAAGAUGAUGCAGAAAAUGACAGUGUCAACUGGAUCCUUUGGGAGACUGAAGCUCAGAGAGCUACUUGCCCACAGGAUCUCAUCCAGGAUACAAUACUACAUUUAGCUGAUGUCUCUUUAGGUGCUUCUUGGCUACAAUGGUUUCUCAGAAUCUCCUUGUUUUUGAUGACUUUGACAAUUUUAAGAAGUACUGGUCAGGUAAUUUGUAGAAGACUCCUCUGAUGAGGCGGGGAUGUAGGUGGGGGGUAGACUGCUUGCUUAGUAUGUGCAAAGUCCUGGGUUCAAUUUCCAGCACUGCAGGGAAAGAAAAAAAAAAAAAAA
This is a non-coding RNA of Ictidomys tridecemlineatus (thirteen-lined ground squirrel), 340 nucleotides long. NCBI's taxonomy places the organism in Eukaryota, Metazoa, Chordata, Mammalia, Rodentia, Sciuridae. The record is from RefSeq and is a predicted model, not a curated record.